GCAAGUCGAGGGGUAACAUUGUAGCUUGCUACAGAUGACGACCGGCGCACGGGUGCGUAACGCGUAUAGAACCUACCUUUUACAGAGGGAUAGCCUUUAGAAAUGAAGAUUAAUACCUUAUAGUAUUGCGACUCGGCAUCGGGUUGUAAUUAAAGAUUUAUCGGUAAAAGAUGGCUAUGCGUCCUAUUAGUUAGAUGGUAAGGUAACGGCUUACCAAGACAGCGAUAGGUAGGGGUCCUGAGAGGGAGAUC
Molecule: ribosomal RNA, 251 nt
Filed under: uncultured bacterium
Lineage: Bacteria
Description: partial 16S ribosomal RNA
Rfam family: Bacterial small subunit ribosomal RNA
Source: RNAcentral